GGUUGCCAUUUCCUUCUCCAUAUACUAAAAUUGGAAUGAUACAGAGAAGAUUAGCAUGGCCCCUAAGCAAGGAUGACACACAAAUUCAUGACAUGUUCCAUAUUUUU
Molecule: small nuclear RNA, 107 nt
Organism: Capra hircus (goat)
Lineage: Eukaryota; Metazoa; Chordata; Mammalia; Artiodactyla; Bovidae
Source: Ensembl